GGCGGACGGGUGAGUAACGCGUGGGUAACCUGCCUCAUACAGGGGGAUAACGGUUAGAAAUGACUGCUAAUACCGCAUAAGCGCACAGUACCGCAUGGUACGGUGUGAAAAACUCCGGUGGUAUGAGAUGGACCCGCGUCUGAUUAGUUAGUUGGUGGGGUAACGGCCCACCAAGGCGACGAUCAGUAGCCGACCUGAGAGGGUGACCGGCCACAUUGGGACUGAGACACGGCCCAG
This 237-nucleotide ribosomal RNA is filed under the name uncultured bacterium. Its description in RNAcentral is "partial 16S ribosomal RNA". It matches the Rfam family "Bacterial small subunit ribosomal RNA", at positions 97 to 334 of the family's 1533-position model. The record is from RNAcentral.